UCCGUGAUAAAGUAGCAUAAUCACUCGCCAUUUAAUUGAUGGAUAGUAUGAAUGGUUGAACGAAUAUUCCACUGUCUUAGGAAGAAUUAUAAAAAAUUGAAAUAAUAGUCAAGAUGCUAUUUAAAACUGUAAGACGAAAAGACCCUAUAGAGCUUAACUAUAAUUUCCUUAUUAUAAAUGAAUAUUAAUUCUAUAACUAAGGAGAUUGGUAGUUUAGUUGGGGCGACUGCCUUCUAAAUUAAACGAAGGUAAGCAAUGUUAAUAAAAGAUUUAUUGUAUAGUUAAAUAACUUAACAAUUAUAAAAAUAGGCUAUAGUGACCCGUUUUUGUUUAGUAAAAAAGAAAACGAUCAAU
RNAcentral lists this ribosomal RNA (354 nucleotides) under Aequorea macrodactyla. RNAcentral's name for it is "partial 16S ribosomal RNA". It matches the Rfam family "Bacterial large subunit ribosomal RNA", at positions 1945 to 2453 of the family's 2925-position model. Lineage: Eukaryota; Metazoa; Cnidaria; Hydrozoa; Leptothecata; Aequoreidae. The record is from RNAcentral.